RNAcentral lists this long non-coding RNA (1065 nucleotides) under Oryctolagus cuniculus (rabbit). RNAcentral describes it as "lncRNA (ENSOCUG00000038546.1)". Lineage: Eukaryota; Metazoa; Chordata; Mammalia; Lagomorpha; Leporidae. The record is from RNAcentral.
GGCUGUUGGUUUUCAUUUAAAAAAAAAAAAGUUAAAACGGGGUGGAUCAAUUUCUGAAGUUUUAGGACAGCACGGAUUUGAAAGCAACCCUGUUGCUACCACCGCCUGCAUGUGAAGCUGGAUCGGCCAGAAAUGCGAACAGGCUGUCUCUGACAGAAGCAUACAGUUCAUCAAAAGUGUCUGCAGGUUGUCAAACUCAGGGAGGUUUGGGGACCCUCUGUGGCUGUCAUGGUCAACAAGAAGAUUUUCUGUCGGGCUUCUCCAUCACUCACCCCGAGGAAAUAAUCACUCACUACCUUCUGCAUGUUCUCAUGAUAGAGCUCUCCAUUUGAGAGAAAAGAGCCAUUUUAUCAAAGGACAAUAUAGCCCUUCUCUGGGCCCACGUAGCUUCCAUUAUCAGACCAUAAUAAAUCAUAUUUAUGUUCUUAGUUAAUAAGACUGAUUACAACGCAGGUUCCAGACGUGGGAAAAGCAAAGCAGGUGGAAAGAUGUUUUAAUGAAAAUAUGAUAAGAAAACAGCUUCUUGUGAACAUUUUGUGCUAUUAUUUGUAAUGAUUACAGACAAUUUUUGAUGCAUCUUCUUUAGCAAUGGUUUAAGCUGCCUAAAUUGGCUCACUGGUAGAUAAGUAAAAAUGAUAAGGAAAAAAAUCAUGAAAUCUUCUUAUGUUGUCUAGAACCAUUAUGUACAUAACAGGUGCAAAAUGGGUUUAAUGUAUAUGCUGGGGAUGGAGGGGAAACAGAUUUCUCAGAAAAGCAGGGUUUGGGUAUUUUUCAAAGUGAUUUAGAAAUUUUCUUCUCAUCUUGUUAAAGAUGUGUGGCCCCUGAGGUGGGGGCACGCUGGUCAUUAAUUUCACCUCUGUAAAUGAACCUACAGCUCUAUCUUCCUUAUUCAACCUCCAAGUUAUUUUUCCUUUUCUUCCCUUAUUUUAUUUUUCUUCCCUCUUAGAGCUCAGUACAAACAGACAAAGAGAUAUAUAUUUCCUGCUCAAUGUUUGUGCACAACUGCCAUUAGUGCUAAUGGGAGUUAAGUGCCUGCUUAGGAGGAAAACAGACCCCAAAGUUUAA